AUCAACUUUCGAUGGUAGGAUAGAGGCCUACCAUGGUGGUAACGGGUAACGGGGUGUUAGGGCACGACACCGGAGAGGGAGCCUGAGAAACGGCUACCACAUCCAAGGAUGGCAGCAGGCGCGCAAAUUACCCAAUCCCGACACGGGGAGGUAGUGACAAUAAAUAACAAUACGGGGUUCUUUCGGAUCUCGUAAUUGGAAUGAGUACAAUUUAAAUCUCUUAACGAGGAACAAUUGGAGGGCAAGUCUGGUGCCAGCAGCCGCGGUAAUUCCAGCUCCAAUAGCGUAUAUUAAAGUUGUUGCAGUUAAAAAGCUCGUAGUUGAAUUUCGGGGUUAGUAGGUUGGUCAUGCCUCAGGUAUGCACUGGUCUCACUGAUUCCUCCUUCCUGAUGAGCCGUAAUGCCAUUAAUUUGGUGUUGCGGGGAAUCUGGACUGUUACUUUGAAAAAAUUAGAGUGUUUAAAGCAGGCUAACGCUUGAAUACAUUAGCAUGGAAUAAUGGAAUAGGACGUUCGAUCCUAUUUUGUUGGUUUCUAGGAUUGACGUAAUGAUUAAUAGGGAUAGUUGGGGGCAUUAGUAUUCAAUUGUCAGAGGUGAAAUUCUUGGAUUUAUUGAAGACUAACUACUGCGAAAGCAUUUGCCAAGGAUGUUUUCAUUAAUCAAGAACGAAAGUUAGGGGAUCGAAGACGAUCAGAUACCGUCGUAGUCUUAACCAUAAACUAUGCCGACUAGGGAUCGGAUGAUGUUAAUUUUUUAAUGACUCAUUCGGCGCCUUACGGGAAACCAAAGUGUUUGGGUUC
Molecule: ribosomal RNA, 799 nt
Filed under: uncultured Glomeromycotina
Lineage: Eukaryota; Fungi; Glomeromycota
Description: SSU rRNA
Rfam family: Eukaryotic small subunit ribosomal RNA
Source: RNAcentral